Molecule: small RNA, 658 nt
Filed under: Pan troglodytes (chimpanzee)
Lineage: Eukaryota; Metazoa; Chordata; Mammalia; Primates; Hominidae
Description: processed transcript
Source: RNAcentral
CUGCCUGCUAGGUCAUAAGGAUGAAGGCCAUGUGGCUGGGGUACUUAUGUCAAGUCCAGAAUGGGGCAGUGUCCCUCUCCUACCUCUCUGCGGAGACGCAAUUGAAGGUCAAGUAGACUCAGUGUAGGGCAGGCAGCUGUCAUGCUGCAAAGAAGUUUAGAGGAGUCUUUGGGUUGGGGAGGUGACAGGUAGGUAGGACAGGAUCUCUUAAGAUGGGAAAGAUACUGGGGAGAGGAGGGCUGCUUGGCCCCAGGGAACUGCAGUGAGGUGGAACUGAGCUCCGCUCCUGAAUCUCCAAAGGAGCCCAUGCUGCCCGGCUUCCCUGAGUCAUUUUUUCCAGCAUCCUGUCAGACCCCUCAAUGUACUGAUUUCCCCCUUGUGUUAACUAUACCGAUAUUAUUUUUUUAGCAAUUGAAAUGCACUUUUUUAUUUCAACUCAAUCAUGAUUUUAAGUAUAAAAAAUUUAUAGAUUGUUAAAACUACUUUUUUGUGUAUUUUUAACCACUCAAUGUAGCAUUGUAUAUUUUAUUCUUGUGAGACUCUGGUACAGGUGUGCCGCCUAAUGAUUUUUCUGAGAUGCUGGGCCUUUGGAUGUGUACGGUAACCAACUUAAUGCUAAUGUUCAAAGUAAAAAAAAAAAAAAAAAAAGGCAGCCAUA